UUUGGUGGCGAUAGCGAAGAGGUCACACCCGUUCCCAUGUCGAACACGGAAGUUAAGCUCUUCAGCGCCGAUGGUAGUCGGGGGUUUCCCCCUGUGAGAGUAGGACGCCGCCAAGC
Molecule: ribosomal RNA, 116 nt
Filed under: Bacillus amyloliquefaciens
Lineage: Bacteria; Bacillati; Bacillota; Bacilli; Caryophanales; Bacillaceae
Also listed under: 1 other name
Source: RNAcentral